CUCUCCCUCUCUGCAAGCUAUAAAUUCCCUGAGGCUGGAAACUAGACUAAGGGUGGUUGAUUUUACAAUGUAACUUUGAUGUAAUGGCAUCUCAGAAGUAGAUUUAUAACUAACCCUAAAGGUGAUAAUUGUAUUUUCACUGACAGCUCCUUGUGUAAGGCAAACUAAUAAACUUCUGUGGUGUAAA
Long non-coding RNA from Gopherus evgoodei (Goodes thornscrub tortoise), 187 nucleotides. RefSeq lists it as uncharacterized. The transcript has 3 exons. NCBI's taxonomy places the organism in Eukaryota, Metazoa, Chordata, Testudines, Testudinidae. The record is from RefSeq and is a predicted model, not a curated record.